ACUCAAAGGAAUAGACGGGGGCCCGCACAAGCGGAGGAACAUGUGGUUUAAUUCGAUGAUACGCGAGGAACCUUACCCAGGCUUAAAUUGCAGAUGAAUAUAGUGGAAACAUUAUAGCCAGCAAUGGCAUCUGUGAAGGUGCUGCAUGGUUGUCGUCAGCUCGUGCCGUGAGGUGUCGGCUUAAGUGCCAUAACGAGCGCAACCCUUAUCGAUAGUUACUAACAGUUUAAGCUGAGGACUCUAUUGAGACUGCCGUCGUAAGAUGCGAGGAAGGUGGGGAUGACGUCAAAUCAGCACGGCCCUUACGUCUGGGGCUACACACGUGUUACAAUGGGGGGUACAGAAGGUCGCUACCUGGCAACAGGAUGCUAAUCCCAAAAACCUCUCACAGUUCGGAUUGGAGUCUGCAACUCGACUCCAUGAAGCUGGAUUCGCUAGUAAUCGCGCAUCAGCCACGGCGCGGUGAAUACGUUCCCGGGCCUUGUACACACCGCCCGU
This 498-nucleotide ribosomal RNA is filed under the name uncultured bacterium. Its description in RNAcentral is "bacterial SSU rRNA". It matches the Rfam family "Bacterial small subunit ribosomal RNA", at positions 899 to 1397 of the family's 1533-position model. The record is from RNAcentral.